This 586-nucleotide small RNA is filed under the name Pan troglodytes (chimpanzee). RNAcentral's name for it is "retained intron". The record is from RNAcentral. Lineage: Eukaryota; Metazoa; Chordata; Mammalia; Primates; Hominidae.
GUGGUCUCCCAGGCCGGGGGCCCCGAAGGCAAAGACUACUGCAUCCUCUACAACCCGCAGUGGGCCCAUCUUCCGCAUGACCUCACCAAGGCAUCUUUCCUGCAGCUGCGCAACUGGACGGCCUCCCUGCUCUGCUCCGCAGCCGACCUCCCCGCCCGUGGCUUCAGCAACCAGAUCCCGCUGGUGGCGCGGGGGAACUGCACCUUCUAUGAGAAAGUGAGGCUGGCCCAGGGCAGCGGAGCACGCGGGCUGCUCAUCGUCAGCAGGGAGAGGCUGGUACGGCCCUGCGCGUCCCCCGCCGGGCCAGCUCUCAGGGGCAGGAGGGGGGUGCAGGAGGCAGAGAUGGCAGCAGCUGGGGCUGGUCUUCCGACUUCUCGCUAAAGGCAGACCCCUCUGUGGGGAGGAUCUGGGCCGAGUGUGAACGUGGGGAGGAUCCGGGCCGAGUGUGGCCGUCGGGAGGGCGGAGAUGAGUCUGUUCUUCCUGCGCUGCUGGCUGGGGCUGUGGAACUUUGGCCGUGGUCUUGUUGGGUGCCUGUCCUAGAGCAGCCCCCAGGGGUGAUGGAGACCACACCCUCUGUGGGGAUGG